GGUCCUAUGGCUUAAUGGAUAAAGCGCCGGUCUACGGAGAUACACGUUGGCAACCGGAGAUUCCAGGUUCGAUCCCUGGUAGGAUCG
Chlamydomonas reinhardtii is the source of this 87-nucleotide non-coding RNA. NCBI's taxonomy places the organism in Eukaryota, Viridiplantae, Chlorophyta, Chlorophyceae, Chlamydomonadales, Chlamydomonadaceae. The record is from Rfam.